RNAcentral lists this ribosomal RNA (484 nucleotides) under uncultured bacterium. Its description in RNAcentral is "partial 16S ribosomal RNA". It matches the Rfam family "Bacterial small subunit ribosomal RNA", at positions 30 to 507 of the family's 1533-position model. The record is from RNAcentral.
AUUGAACGCUGGCGGCAGGCCUAACACAUGCAAGUCGAGCGGAUGAAGGGAGCUUGCUCCUGGAUUCAGCGGCGGACGGGUGAGUAAUGCCUAGGAAUCUGCCUGGUAGUGGGGGAUAACGUCCGGAAACGGGCGCUAAUACCGCAUACGUCCUGAGGGAGAAAGUGGGGGAUCUUCGGACCUCACGCUAUCAGAUGAGCCUAGGUCGGAUUAGCUAGUUGGUGGGGUAAAGGCCUACCAAGGCGACGAUCCGUAACUGGUCUGAGAGGAUGAUCAGUCACACGGGAACUGAGACACGGUCCAGACUCCUACGGGAGGCAGCAGUGGGGAAUAUUGGACAAUGGGCGAAAGCCUGAUCCAGCCAUGCCGCGUGUGUGAAGAAGGUCUUCGGAUUGUAAAGCACUUUAAGUUGGGAGGAAGGGCAGUAAGUUAAUACCUUGCUGCUUUGACGUUACCAACAGAAUAAGCACCGGCUAACUUCGUG